CAAUAGCGUAUAUUAAAGUUGUUGCAGUUAAAAAGCUCGUAGUUGGAUUUGUGGUUCGUCCCGCCGGCUGGGUCAUUGACUUUUGCUGUGCUGGUCGUCCAUCCUUGGGUGGAAUCUGUGUGGCAUUAGGUUGUCGCGCAGGGGAUGCCCAUCGUUUACUGUGAAAAAAUUAGGGUGUUCAAAGCAGGCUUAUGCCGUUGAAUAUAUUAGCAUGGAAUAAUGAUAUAGGACCUUGGUACUAUUUUGUUGGUUUGCGCACUGAGGUAAUGAUUAAUAGGGACAGUUGGGGGUAUUCGUAUUCCAUUGUAAGAGGUGAAAUUCUUGGAUUUUUGGAAGACGAACUACUGCGAAAGCAUUUACCAAGGAUGUUUUCAUUA
Molecule: ribosomal RNA, 377 nt
Filed under: uncultured eukaryote
Lineage: Eukaryota
Description: partial 18S ribosomal RNA
Rfam family: Eukaryotic small subunit ribosomal RNA
Source: RNAcentral